CCGGAAUAAAGUAGUUAUUUCUUCAUAACUCAAAGAAUUUGGCGGUUAGUUUUAUUAUUCAGGGGAACUUGUUUAUUAAUUGAUAAACCACGAUAGUUUAUACUUUUUUUUUACUUAUAUACCUCUAUAUUUAUGAAUGUUUUUUUAGAAUAAUUUUUUUUUAGAUUAAUCAUUUAAAUUAGGUCAAGGUGUAGUUUUUAAUAAGUUUAAAUGAGUUACUUUAUUUUUAAUUGUUAAUUUAAGUUUUAUAUUUUAUUUAUCUACAUAUAGGAUUUGAAAGUAAUUUUAAUUAAUUAAUUAUUUUGAAUUUU
RNAcentral lists this ribosomal RNA (311 nucleotides) under Nessorhinus sp. CPL-2004. Its description in RNAcentral is "partial 12S small subunit ribosomal RNA". Lineage: Eukaryota; Metazoa; Arthropoda; Insecta; Hemiptera; Membracidae. The record is from RNAcentral.